GGGUCUAUAGCUCAGUUGGAUAGAGCAACAGCCUUCUAAGCUGUGGGUCGCAGGUUCGAGCCCUGCUAGACUCGCCA
This 77-nucleotide transfer RNA is filed under the name Oscillospiraceae bacterium. RNAcentral's name for it is "tRNA-Arg". It matches the Rfam family "tRNA". From Rfam's summary of the family: Transfer RNA (tRNA) molecules are approximately 80 nucleotides in length. Their secondary structure includes four short double-helical elements and three loops (D, anti-codon, and T loops). RNAcentral also lists the same sequence under 1 other name. Lineage: Bacteria; Bacillati; Bacillota; Clostridia; Eubacteriales; Oscillospiraceae. The record is from RNAcentral.